Molecule: ribosomal RNA, 449 nt
Filed under: uncultured bacterium
Lineage: Bacteria
Description: partial 16S ribosomal RNA
Rfam family: Bacterial small subunit ribosomal RNA
Source: RNAcentral
AACGAACGCUGGCGGCAUGCCUAAUACAUGCAAGUCGAACGUACACUUCGGUGGUAGUGUCGCCCGGGUGCGUAACGCGUGGGAAUCUGCCCUUCGGUUCGGAAUAACGUCGGCAAACUCAGGAUAAUACCGGGUGAUGACGUAAGGCCAACGAAUGAUCGCCCAGGGGUGAGCCCGCGUAGGAUUAGCUAGUUGGUGGGGUAAAGGCCUACCAAGGCGACGAACCUUAGCUGGUCUGAGAGGAUGAUCAGCCACACUGGGACUGAGAAAAGGGCCAGACUCCUACGGGAGGCAGGAGUAGGGAAUAUUGGACAAUGGGGGCAACCCUGAUCCAGCAAUGCCGCGUGAGUGAUGAAGGCCGUAGGGUUGUAAAGCUCUUUUACCCGGGAUGAUAAUGACAGUACCGGGAGAAUAAGCCCCGGCUAACUCCGUGCCAGCCGCCGCCGUAA